This 431-nucleotide unclassified non-coding RNA is filed under the name plant metagenome. Its description in RNAcentral is "partial contains 5.8S ribosomal RNA, internal transcribed spacer 2, and large subunit ribosomal RNA". The stretch from base 1 to 102 matches the Rfam family "5.8S ribosomal RNA", at positions 50 to 154 of the family's 154-position model. The record is from RNAcentral.
AAACUGCGAUAAGUAGUGUGAAUUGCAUUUAGUGAAUCAUCGAAUCUUUGAACGCACCCUGCACUCACUGGUAUUCCGGUGAGUACGCCUGUUUCAGUAUCAUUGAAAACACACAAUCAAAACAUUUUCUUUGGUUUGAUUGGCUUUGGGUCUAUCAAAAAGUUUGGCUUGUUUCUUACAAGCCAAGCGGCCUGAAAUAUAUUGUCUGGCUAGUUGCAUCGUUGAUGAUCGCUAUUAGACUUUGGCUUUUUUAAAUGAACUGGAGGUUGAUUAACCAGUUUUAGCUUUAGUCAAAUGGUCAUUGUAAAAAAAAUCUCGAUCUUGGCUAGGUGUUUAUAGCCGAAAAUUUUUUUUUGGCUAUAACCGAAACCAAUAUAAUCACAUUUAGUUAUCGAUCUGAAAUCAGGUGGGACUACCCGCUGAACUUAAGC